CCUUCCCACAAGAUUGAGACUCAGAGUUCAUCACUCUAUCCGAACAGCUUCCUUCUCCCUCCUUGAGCCGCACUUCAACAUUAGAAUUUUUAGCAUUUUGUCUAAUCCAAGCAUCAUCAAUUCCAUUAGAUUCCAAAUAAUCCAUAUUUAUUGAAGAACCAUAACCUGAAACCCUAACACAAACGGAAGGGUCAGAAACACUUUUACCAGAACUAUCCAAUGAUUUACG
Molecule: unclassified non-coding RNA, 229 nt
Filed under: Hevea brasiliensis (rubber tree)
Lineage: Eukaryota; Viridiplantae; Streptophyta; Magnoliopsida; Malpighiales; Euphorbiaceae
Source: RNAcentral